AUGAACGCUGGCGGCGUGCCUAAUACAUGCAAGUCGAGCGAACAGACGAGGAGCUUGCUCCUCUGACGUUAGCGGCGGACGGGUGAGUAACACGUGGAUAACCUACCUAUAAGACUGGGAUAACUUCGGGAAACCGGAGCUAAUACCGGAUAACAUGUUGAACCGCAUGGUUCAACAGUGAAAGACGGUUUUGCUGUCACUUAUAGAUGGAUCCGCGUCGCAUUAGCUAGUUGGUAAGGUAACGGCUUACCAAGGCAACGAUGCGUAGCCGACCUGAGAGGGUGAUCGGCCACACUGGAACUGAGACACGGUCCAGACUCCUACGGGAGGCAGCAGUAGGGAAUCUUCCGCAAUGGGCGAAAGCCUGACGGAGCAACGCCGCGUGAGUGAAGAAGGUCUUCGGAUCGUAAAACUCUGUUAUUAGGGAAGAACAAAUGCGUAAGUAACUAUGCACGUCUUGACGGUACCUAAUCAGAAAGCCACGGCUAACUACGUG
RNAcentral lists this ribosomal RNA (496 nucleotides) under uncultured bacterium. RNAcentral's name for it is "partial 16S ribosomal RNA". It matches the Rfam family "Bacterial small subunit ribosomal RNA", at positions 29 to 507 of the family's 1533-position model. The record is from RNAcentral.